Ctenopharyngodon idella (grass carp) is the source of this 813-nucleotide long non-coding RNA. RefSeq lists it as uncharacterized. The transcript has 3 exons. NCBI's taxonomy places the organism in Eukaryota, Metazoa, Chordata, Actinopteri, Cypriniformes, Xenocyprididae. The record is from RefSeq and is a predicted model, not a curated record.
UGCAAAACAUGAUCAGUAAUGCCCUGGUCCAGAUCUGGGAGGAAAUACCCCAGGACACUGUCCGUCGCCUCAUUAGGAGCAUGCCCCGACGUUGUCAGGCAUGCAUACAAGCACGUGGGGGCCAUACAAACUACUGAGUACCAUUUCAAGUUGCUGCAAUGAAAAUUCAGCAAAAUGGACUAGCCUGCUGCAUCAUCUUUUCACUUUGAUUUUCGCUGUGUCUUUGAAUUCAGUCCUCUCAGUUUAAGAGCACAACCCAGAGCAGGAAUGUUCUCAGGUUGGAGGACAGCCAGAACAAGAAGCUGCUCCAUGACUGAAUGAAUACCACAUCCUCACAGUCAACCAACAAGAACUGUCUCCAUCCUGGAUCAUUUACAAAUCAUGAUAGAAAUGCUUUUAAGAAUACUGAUCACAUAUGUAAACACUUAUGUGAUGCUUAUUUUCCCUGCUAAAAAAUUCAGCAUUGCUGAUCACCAGCAUAAGGUAUGUUUUGCGUGCUGGGACCAGCAUGGGAUGCUGUUUGGUGGUUUGCUGGUCACCAGGGGAAACAGGAGUGCUGAUGGACCAGCUCAGUUUUGCAGUCCAGCCCUGCUCUAACCAGCCAGCCUGGACCAAUAUGGAAUGCUGAAACCCUAUUGGCUUCAGCUGGUGCUGACUGAGCAGAAAUACCACAUGUGCUGUACACAGAACUCAACAAUUUGAGAGGUAGUGGUCACUCGAUGUGUGUGGAAACACAUGGAUCUGAUAACACAAUUUUUCGAAAAUGUUAUUCGCAACCCUUGCUGGACCACCAGAAUAAAGAAUAACAAACUG